Molecule: ribosomal RNA, 824 nt
Filed under: uncultured Bacillota bacterium
Lineage: Bacteria; Bacillati; Bacillota
Description: bacterial SSU rRNA
Rfam family: Bacterial small subunit ribosomal RNA
Source: RNAcentral
UCGAACGCGGUUACCCUGCAAGGGGUAACUGAGUGGCGAACGGGUGAGUAACACGUGGGUGACCUACCUUCGAGUGGGGGAUAACGUCCCGAAAGGGACGCUAAUACCGCAUAACAUCCUGUCCUUGAACGGAUGGAGAUCAAAGCCGGGGAUCGCAAGACCUGGCGCUUGAUGAGGGGCCCGCGUCCGAUUAGCUAGUUGGUGAGGUAAUGGCUCACCAAGGCAACGAUCGGUAGCCGGCCUGAGAGGGCGGACGGCCACACUGGGACUGAGACACGGCCCAGACUCCUACGGGAGGCAGCAGUGGGGAAUUGUUCGCAAUGGGCGCAAGCCUGACGACGCAACGCCGCGUGGAGGAUGAAGGUCUUCGGAUUGUAAACUCCUGUUGCCCGGGACGAAAAGCUCCGACCUAACACGUCGGAGUCUGACGGUACCGGGUGAGGAAGCCCCGGCUAACUCUGUGCCAGCAGCCGCGGUAAUACAGAGGGGGCAAGCGUUGUUCGGAAUUACUGGGCGUAAAGGGCGCGUAGGCGGCCUGCUAAGUCGAACGUGAAAUCCCUGGGCUCAACCCAGGAACUGCGUCCGAUACUGGUUGGCUUGAAUUCGGGAGAGGGAUGUGGAAUUCCAGGUGUAGCGGUGAAAUGCGUAGAUAUCUGGAGGAACACCGGUGGCGAAGGCGGCAUCCUGGACCGAUUUUGACGCUGAUGCGCGAAAGCCAGGGGAGCAAACGGGAUUAGAUACCCCGGUAGUCCUGGCCCUAAACGAUGAAGGCUUGGUGUGGCGGGUAUCGAUCCCUGCCGUGCCGAAGCUAACGCAUUAAGCAU